CCUACGGGGGGCUGCAGUGAGGAAUAUUGGUCAAUGGGCGCGAGCCUGAACCAGCCAAGUCGCGUGAGGGAAGACGGUCCUAUGGAUUGUAAACCUCUUUUGUCGGGGAGCAAAAGACGCCACGCGUGGCGUUCCGAGAGUACCCGAAGAAAAAGCAUCGGCUAACUCCGUGCCAGCAGCCGCGGUAAUACGGAGGAUGCGAGCGUUAUCCGGAUUUAUUGGGUAUAAAGGGUGCGCAGGCGGAAGAUCAAGUCAGCGGGAAAAUUGAGAGGCUCAACCUCUUCGAGCCGUUGAAACUGGUUUUCUUGAGUGAGUGAGAAGUAAGCGGAAUGCGUGGGGUAGCGGGGAAAUGCAUAGAGAUCACGCAGAACUCCGAUUGCGAAGGCAGCAUACCGGCGCUCAACUGACGCUCAUGCACGAAAGUGUGGGUAUCGAACAGGAUUAGAUACCCGGGUAGUC
RNAcentral lists this ribosomal RNA (459 nucleotides) under uncultured bacterium. RNAcentral describes it as "partial 16S ribosomal RNA". It matches the Rfam family "Bacterial small subunit ribosomal RNA", at positions 338 to 795 of the family's 1533-position model. The record is from RNAcentral.